Molecule: ribosomal RNA, 339 nt
Filed under: Triticum aestivum (bread wheat)
Lineage: Eukaryota; Viridiplantae; Streptophyta; Magnoliopsida; Poales; Poaceae
Description: partial small subunit ribosomal RNA
Source: RNAcentral
AUGAGUGAUAAAAAGGUUUUACAGCAAUUCUUAGGAAUUGUAAACUAUGCGCGAAACUAUAUAGAUAACUUAGGAAAGCUAGCAGGACCUUUAUAUGAUAAAUUAAGGAAAAAUGGUCAAAAAUACUUCAAUUCUGAAGAUAUAAAAUUAGUAAAGGCCAUCAAGGAAAAGGUCAAGAAUUUAAAACCCCUAGAAUUGCCUCUAGAAGACAAUUAUUUUAUAAUUGAAACAGAUGCAUCUAAGGUAGGAUGGGGUGCGAUACUAAAACAAAAACCCAAUAAAUACUCUCCAAAAGCAGAUGGAAAAAUAUGCAGAUAUGCUUCAGGUGUUACAAAUUAA